This is a long non-coding RNA of Seriola dumerili (greater amberjack), 458 nucleotides long. RefSeq lists it as uncharacterized. NCBI's taxonomy places the organism in Eukaryota, Metazoa, Chordata, Actinopteri, Carangiformes, Carangidae. The record is from RefSeq and is a predicted model, not a curated record. The transcript is spliced from 4 exons.
UACAUGAUUUUUGAUAGAGGUCCAUGGUGCCCUUGAGGAUGACUCCAAAUGUCUUUGGUCACUCCUUAACCCUUCAUCUAGCACUGCCACCAGGCAUGGACAACCCACCGUUCCCUACACCGUGGAAAAGACCUUGAUAUCGCUGGCUGCUCUGCUAUUGAAUUCAGCCUGAUUGGGCCACAAAAGGAAUCUGCUUCUGCCGCAAGGUACUAUCACCUGACAGACUUCGCCUGAGUGGAGCCUAUUUAAGCUGGGAUAUUCAAGAUGGUGUCUCUCUCUCUCAGCUCUCCUGGAAUGCUGGUGCCUUUCAGGAACCCAUCUUGAUUUUGCUUUGUUGUAUAUUUUGUUUGGUUAAGGCCUCAGUUCUUGUACAGUAGUUUAAGUUGGCUUUCAUUUUCAAAGCACCCAACACCUACACUACACUACUGACUUCACAUUUUCUACUUUACUUAGGUUGA